UGGGCUAUAGCCAAGCGGUAAGGCAACGGACUUUGACCCCGUCACUCGUUGGUUCGAAUCCAGCUAGCCCAG
This 72-nucleotide transfer RNA is filed under the name Staphylococcus aureus. Its description in RNAcentral is "tRNA-Gln(ttg)". It matches the Rfam family "tRNA". Rfam says of the family: Transfer RNA (tRNA) molecules are approximately 80 nucleotides in length. Their secondary structure includes four short double-helical elements and three loops (D, anti-codon, and T loops). Lineage: Bacteria; Bacillati; Bacillota; Bacilli; Caryophanales; Staphylococcaceae. The record is from RNAcentral.